RNAcentral lists this ribosomal RNA (538 nucleotides) under uncultured bacterium. RNAcentral describes it as "bacterial SSU rRNA". It matches the Rfam family "Bacterial small subunit ribosomal RNA", at positions 777 to 1307 of the family's 1533-position model. The record is from RNAcentral.
AAUAGAUACCCCUGGUAGUCCACGCCGUAAACGGUGGGCACUAGGUGUGGGCGACAUUCCACGUCGUCCGUGCCGCAGCUAACGCAUUAAGUGCCCCGCCUGGGGAGUACGGCCGCAAGGCUAAACUCAAAGGAAUUGACGGGGGCCCGCACAAGCGGCGGAGCAUGUGGCUUAAUUCGACGCAACGCGAAGAACCUUACCAAGGCUUGACAUACACCGGAAACGUCCAGAGAUGGGCGCCCCCUUGUGGUCGGUGUACAGGUGGUGCAUGGCUGUCGUCAGCUCGUGUCGUGAGAUGUUGGGUUAAGUCCCGCAACGAGCGCAACCCUUGUCCCGUGUUGCCAGCAGGCCCUUGUGGUGCUGGGGACUCACGGGAGACCGCCGGGGUCAACUCGGAGGAAGGUGGGGACGACGUCAAGUCAUCAUGCCCCUUAUGUCUUGGGCUGCACACGUGCUACAAUGGCCGGUACAAUGAGCUGCGAUACCGCGAGGUAGAGCGAAUCUCAAAAACGCCGGUCUCAGUUCGGAUUGGGGUCUG